UAAAAUAAAUGUUAUAAAAAUGUAAGUGCGUAGCGACAGUCGGUAUAGCAUCGCGAAGUGUCUAUAUUCCGAUACGAAAAUCGUACCACCUUGGCACUAAGCUGGCAGUCGUUAAAUCGAGCGCUAAAAAUUAGGAAAAUUCCGUAACGCGGCACGUCGAACUUCUUGGCAAAUUUCCACAGGCUGCAUGCAUGUCAUUUCUCACGUCGUGUUAUGUUAUGUUACGUUAGCAAAAGGCAAGGAGCUUUGGGAUAUGUAUCACUGCCGGUCACGAGUAGAUAAUAAAUUAUUCUCCGUCACCCGCAUUAGAACUAUGAACUGAUUCUAAGACGGGUGUCUAACUCGUAUACCGACCUAACAUAAGCUGGUCAACUCCAUAACCAUGAGUCGGUGAAUUAACAAGCUUCUAAGCGAGCGAGCAGGCAAACAGGCUCACUGUGUACGCUGCUGCUCCGCAUCGCUUGUGUUGGCAGCAAUGGGAUUUGCAGCGACCUACUUGGCGUGCCUCGACCCUUGCAUUGAUUCAAGCGAACCAAAAUUAUUCUCGGACGAUUAUUGUUUGACAAUACUGGAGCCCACCGUCGUAUUAUACUACGGCAACAACAACAUCAGCGGCUGCAGCAGAAACGGUUACAGUGACGUACGGGCUUCCCUUUGUAAGUGUAGAAACGCUGAUCGCGUGUGGGAAACAACCAUAUACAAUGGGUUGAUUGCUGGACACCCGGUGAAAUAUGCCAGUCCCAGCCAAUAACCGGUAUUGCUACCCUCUCUUCGCUUUUCCACUGUCUUCUCCGAAGAGAGUCAGGGAUUCCGUAAUAGAGUGGGAGGAAGAGGGAGAGAGAGAGAUAACAGGAAGAACGUUGGGAAGGGGGAAGAGAAAACGAAAAGAAGAAAAGACGAGGAGAUUAAAGCUGGUCGAGAGAGCGGACAAAACUUGUUGGUGAGACUUGGAAUAGAUACAGGGUGCGUACGAGAUGCUGGGAGAAAGAGCUUAUCGACCCUUUAAAGAAAUAAUAACAAUAAUAAAGUGUUACAAUCUACUGGUUCUUCACUUAGGCGAAGAAUUACUUAUUAAGGCAACUCUAUGACGAUCGUACAGCGGGAAGCGAAAAUGGCCCUCCAAAAUAGUAUUGUAAAUUAAUGCUAUUACACUAUAGUAAGGCCAUUAUUGUACACUAGUGAAGCAUGAAGCAUCGUUCAAGAUAAUAAAACUAUAUAGGAUUAUUCUACGUUUAUUCAAAGUGUAUCAGUCGCAGGACUAUACGUUUCAAGGACUCAUUCGAGAUGAUUUAAAGUUUCAUAUGCGAGAUAAGAGAUAGAAAAUUGCAAUUACCCAGAAAGGUCGUUGCCUUGAUUACACUUGUAUCGGGAAUAUGUGUAUAAGAAGCAUGUGUCAAAUUCAGAACGGAACUGAGCACGGUAAUUACAUCAAAAAAGUGAAACGAAAAUGUCUGAGGGAUUGUUUGAAAGCAAAGGGUCUCCCGAAGAACCACAACGUUAGCAUAGAAUUAGAUGUUUUGGUGCAGCAUGUACGAAUAUUCAUCACCGAACGUGUAAAUCACCCUAUUCCUGUGUUGGGUGCUUUGUGAAUAUCUAGACAGUAUCGUACACGAUACUUGGUGUACGUAACUAUAUGUACGCGUGGUAGUUCUGCAAUUCCCUUUUUGUAGUUCGCACCGGUCGAUAUGCAACGCCACAGGCAUAUAGCGGACGUUUCGUAAACUACAGCAAGAUGGCCGCGUAUUUUCAUGGACAUUCUUCGGCGUCCCACCAGGCUUCGCAGUCCUCCUAUAUUUUCACCCGACAAACAAUUCCCCUGCCGACUGGCAAUGGAGCGUUAGGUAAACCGUAAGCGCGAGAAGCGUCGAUUAGCGUCGGCCAUAACAUUUCCGGUUGCUGUUGCCGGGACUAAUUUUGUCAUUAAAAUCAUUCAGUUCAGCGGCAACCUAGUAAUUACGCCUAGCUAUCGUGUAUUGGUGCUGGUACAAGGUUCACCAAGCUAAACUACGUGAAACGGACACGGAACUUUUCGACUGUCGCUCAAACAUCUCAAUUUUAGGACAGCCGCCAGCAAAGCAGAGCAAGUAAGACAGCAUACACUUCCACGAGAAAAAAAAAUCACCCAGGUCUGUCAUAUCCGUGCUUAGAAGAAUGAGAGUUCAGAGCAUCACAUGCGCGUAACUUUUAGCUAUAUGGAACCAGAAAAACAAAACGUCCAACGGCAACGAACCGGAAAUCCUAGUAGUUGAGAGAGACCUAGAAUGGAUGAGCACGAAUAAAGAACACGAUACCGCCAAUUGUUCUAAGAGAAAACAAAGAAGAAAAAAGGAGUAUAAAACGCCUUUAAAUCAAUAUUUAAUUGUAGUCUCGAGUUGUACUGUAACUUUUGAGGUUAUAAUAAGAUGCAACAUUCACCAAAGAGCAGAUAGUGCGUACAACUUGAAUAUAUCACAUUGUUUGGAGGCUGAGUACGCUGAGCAUUCUCGCACGUAUUGCUCCCGGUAGACAAAACGCGGCAACGUAAUUCACAGAGAAAGGAGAAACCGGAGUGCGAGUAAGAGAGGCUAUCAAAGAACGACGAAGCAAGAAGGAGAAGGAACGAGGUCGUCGAAGAGAAGAAUACAACGAGACGCUACACCAUUGUACUGGACCAGAUUUUAUUGCGCGUCAGGAGUCACUGCGCGCCGAUCCGGAUUCUCUUGUCGUUUCUCUCCUUCCGUUCGUUUAUACCCACGGCCAAUCAGAAUGAAGUACGAAGGAUCUGGAUAUAAGACGUUAACUCCGAAUAACCUAAAAAUAAUACUUUGUACAAUAAUUCGUCUUCCAAUUUCUCUAUAAACAACUAUAACCGUGGACAUACUGUUCACGCGACACAAAUUUUUUACAGUAUCCAAAGAUUCGACUGGCGUGAAAACUGUUUUAUUAGCAAGUGGAAUUUAAAUAAUUCUACCCAGGCUCCGUACAGUCGUGACCUGCUCGCCAGGUACACAAAGUGAAAUAAGUAUCCUAGAAUUCUGCGACGUGUUACCACUCCGUUCGAAGAAUGCCGUUAUCGCUUUCUACCUGCAGUAGAAAGGAUUUUUUUCACUUGAAUAUCGAGAAUCGAGAAAAAAAUCUUUAUCAUGAAUACGAAUAUUAUUUUUAUCGAGAGCUCAACAGCUCAAAGGGAUUGAAGCGACGGUCUUCAACCUGGACGUUGACAAUGCGUUCUAAAUCGCACUGAUAUAGAAGAGAGUGCGAAAGAUAACCUAUACAAUAAUAGCUAAGCCUCAAGCCAAUAGAGCGACCGUUCGCUACGAUCUUAUAAGAGAACUGCAUAAUGCUGUAGGCUUGGCGGAACUAGGAAGCGUGGGUUAGAGGGGUUACACGAUCUAUUAACAUUUCUCUCUUGCUCUGUCACUCGAGUCCCGUCAGUCACUGUUUUCUCUCCAGAUUCGCGUUAACACGCGAACACCAUGAAAAUGCCGGAAAAUAGUAUCUGAUUUCUGUAAGCCUAAGCGAGGAAUCUCCAUUCGCACGUAAUUUUCAGAUAACGAUCGAAUUUAAUUUACGAACCCACGCGAAACUGUAUAAUAGAGUUUCUCGUCUAUCGAGUAAUACGUAAGUAUGUAGUUGAUAUCGACAAUCUUAUUAGGAUCAAUAAAGAUUAUGGGAAUUGCAGGAACUGCGUGGCGCGACAAGCCUCGCUUUAAUUAGAUUCGCAUCGUUGUCGAUUAAACGGAAAGUUUAAUGGGACAAUUUCAUUGGACGAAUUUCGAGAAGAUUUUAUGGGUUCCUGAAUUGUGGACGCAGCCUAAGUAUCCGCAAAGGGUUUUCAAUAUUUCUUUUCUAUUAGGCAAAAUCUAUUCUGUGUAAAACAGCUUUAAACUUUUGGAUGAAAUUUUUAAAUAAGACGAAGAAGUGACGUCGCCCACUGACCGUUGGCACACAUUGCACUGGCCAUGACCUACCAAGUGGACGUGCAAUGCUAAAUGGACACCUUCUUACAUUUACUCAAGCCGGAGACUCGCUCUAAUAAUCGUAAUUUUCUUUGAAUCGAUUACAAAGGUUUUAACUAAGAAACAAGCUGCUUAUACGCUAAACCAUAAAGGUAUCAUGGGAACCCGACCGUUAAUGUAUACAACGGAUAUUAAACAUACGUCUCUGGGAAUCAGGAUACAAAUAUGGACACGUCGCGAUGGAUUAAUUAUUACGCUUAUUGAAGUUAUAUACGAGGACGUUGUUCAUUGUGCUUUAAAAGAUUAAGAAAUUCUACGAGAACGUUGAAUACUCAUACUGACACUAUGUAAAACUAAUCGCUUUACAGUCCUAGAAACUAUUAUUAUGUUUCUAUGAGAUGCAGAUUCAAUUAUUUCUACAAGUACACAGUCUCCUUUUUCUGGCAUUCGUCGAAAACAAUAAUCAUAAAUCUUCUAUGCAAUCCUAAC
Molecule: long non-coding RNA, 4427 nt
Organism: Cephus cinctus (wheat stem sawfly)
Lineage: Eukaryota; Metazoa; Arthropoda; Insecta; Hymenoptera; Cephidae
Exons: 3
Source: RefSeq, a predicted model, not a curated record